RNAcentral lists this ribosomal RNA (1168 nucleotides) under 'Solanum tuberosum' phytoplasma. RNAcentral describes it as "bacterial SSU rRNA". It matches the Rfam family "Bacterial small subunit ribosomal RNA", at positions 184 to 1354 of the family's 1533-position model. Lineage: Bacteria; Bacillati; Mycoplasmatota; Mollicutes; Acholeplasmatales; Acholeplasmataceae. The record is from RNAcentral.
GAAGGCAUCUUUCUAUUUUUAAAAGACCUAGCAAUAGGUAUGCUUAGGGAAGAGCUUGCGUCACAUUAGUUAGUUGGUGGGGUAAUGGCCUACCAAGACGAUGAUGUGUAGCCGGGCUGAGAGGUCGAACGGCCACAUUGGGACUGAGACACGGCCCAAACUCCUACGGGAGGCAGCAGUAAGGAAUUUUCGGCAAUGGAGGAAACUCUGACCGAGCAAUGCCGCGUGAACGAUGAAGUAUUUCGGUACGUAAAGUUCUUUUAUUAGGGAAGAAAAGAUGGUGGAAAAACCAUUAUGACGGUACCUAAUGAAUAAGCCCCGGCUAACUAUGUGCCAGCAGCCGCGGUAAUACAUAGGGGGCAAGCGUUAUCCGGAAUUAUUGGGCGUAAAGGGUGCGUAGGCGGUUAAAUAAGUUUAUGGUCUAAGUGCAACGCUCAACGUUGUGAUGCUAUAAAAACUGUUUAGCUAGAGUUGGAUAGAGGCAAGUGGAAUUCCGUGUGUAGUGGUAAAAUGCGUAAAUAUACGGAGGAACACCAGAAGCGAAGGCGGCUUGCUGGGUCUUAACUGACGCUGAGGCACGAAAGCGUGGGGAGCAAACAGGAUUAGAUACCCUGGUAGUCCACGCCCUAAACGAUGAGUACUAAACGUUGGAUAAAACCAGUGUUGAAGUUAACACAUUAAGUACUCCGCCUGAGUAGUACGUACGCAAGUAUGAAACUUAAAGGAAUUGACGGGACUCCGCACAAGCGGUGGAUCAUGUUGUUUAAUUCGAAGGUACCCGAAAAACCUCACCAGGUCUUGACAUGCUUUUGCAAAGCUGUAGAAAUACAGUGGAGGUUAUCAGAAGCACAGGUGGUGCAUGGUUGUCGUCAGCUCGUGUCGUGAGAUGUUGGGUUAAGUCCCGCAACGAGCGCAACCCUUGUUGUUAAUUGCCAUCAUUAAGUUGGGGACUUUAGCAAGACUGCCAAUGAUAAAUUGGAGGAAGGUGGGGACGACGUCAAAUCAUCAUGCCCCUUAUGACCUGGGCUACAAACGUGAUACAAUGGCUGUUACAAAGGGUAGCUAAAGCGUAAGCUUCUGGCGAAUCUCAAAAAAGCAGUCUCAGUUCGGAUUGAAGUCUGCAACUCGACUUCAUGAAGUUGGAAUCGCUAGUAAUCGCGAAUCAGCA